CAUUCCCUUUUCCUUAAAUUAUUAACUUUCCUUAAAUGGCUUGUUAGUUAAUCAUGCUAUCUUGAAAAGAAAUUAAAAAUGUUAAAAACAGUAAGCCCCACGUGAAGUAUGCUCGUGGCAUAAAACCCAUAAGUACAUUCACUGUGGUGGCGUAAAACUAAAAAUAUUCCUAUCCUAUAAAAAUGAAAAUAUAAAAAUAAAUUUAUGAUCCUACCAUAGAGAGUAAUAUUUAUUAGAGGAAGCUCAGCAUGAUAAAGGCAAAAAGAUUUUAUGCUAACACUUAACCAGUUCCACAAAGCUUUGUUGUCUAUUUGAGCUCCACAGAAUUCAAGGAUCAAAGAAGACUAAGAGACGGAGGACAUCCUAAUCGCUGUCAGGGUGCUGCCGACAUUCAAAUACACCUCCGCCACCUACUAGCUACAUCACAAGAAAUUACGUCAAAAUCCAGCUUUGGGGAGAGCACCCCCAUUUAUCCAGCUAAGUGUUUCUACUCGUGUUUAUACUUUACUCAAAUAAUAAAAAGAUGCAUAAUCAUAAAAACCCAAAUAAAGAUUUUAUGCUUAUAUAUAUAUUUAUGCUUAGUUUGCUAAAUAAAUAAAUAAAUAAAGUUUGCUAUGAACCCUCAUGAUAAGCUCUCACAUGGAAAUGAUGAAUAGUUGCUCUGCCAUGACUAGUUCUGAAAAUUGAAUUUUCUCUCAAGUUUAGGCAUGACUGCUAUGAAUUAAGAUUUGCUCUAAACCUGAACUUGUGGGAAGAGUACUUGAUCUAAAGUCUAAGUCGUUAACGGAUAUGAUAUGGGAAGGUUAAGCUGCUGUUUAUCUGUUCGUAGAGAUGCUAGAAUUCUGGAGAAUUUUAUCUUUGAAAAUUUUUAAAAUGUUGCAUGAUGAGUUCCUGUAUGAUGAGAGUUUAAAAUCCUACCACAGCCACAUAUACAUGCUUAUUAGACUAUGAACCGUACAUUUACUUUUUACUGCUUAUGAGCAUUGAGUGUGGUCAAGUUAUGUAGACCCUUAGGAACAUGUCAUGCGGUUAAAAUCAAGAUUCACAUGCACGUUCACUCAUACAUGCUGCUUUUACUCCGGAAGUACGCAUCCACAUACAUCCACUCCUUUCCAUCUCCAGAUUCACCCAAAAUUAUUCUACUCCUAUCAAGGAGAGAAUAGCCAAAAACAUUAUCCUAUCCCUGUUAUUCCCCAUGAAAUAAAUGCUCGAGAUAUUUUGGUUACUACCACUUGCUACAUUAUUAGAGGAGGGUGAGUGCUCUGAAAAAAAGGAAAAAAAUAUGAGGAAAUAAAAAGGGGCAAGUGCCCGGAACCUCGAAGAAAAUAAAAAGUGAGACGAGAGGUAAAAAUGGACAAGUGUUCGACAGUAGAAUUAGGGGUACAAGAUACCCACCUGAGAGAAAAUAAAAAGAAAAUAGAGAGCACCUCAUUUUCCUCAAAAAGCUUCAAAGUCCAAGAAAGGUAUGUAUCCCCUCAAAAGAGCAAACGUAGAAUUAGACUUUCACCAUUGUUUUCACCAUCAUCACCAUACACCAUUCAUUCCAUACAUGCACAUCUUGAUUUGACUUAUUGACUUGUUUCUCUAGAUCCAUGGUUUGACUAUGCAAUAAAUGUCUUGUAAGUAUGUAUUAUCUGUCUCCCACCUAUGAGCUCCAGAUAUCAAAACCUUAUUAGAGUAGGGUGAGAGAGAAGGCAAUAUCACUAUGCCUCAUACCAAAAAUACCACAUACUUUGAGAGAAGGCAUAUUUGCAUUUGACAAAGUGUUGGGAAGGUGUAGUUGAAAAUCCACAAUUCUCAC
Molecule: long non-coding RNA, 1801 nt
Filed under: Sorghum bicolor (sorghum)
Lineage: Eukaryota; Viridiplantae; Streptophyta; Magnoliopsida; Poales; Poaceae
Description: long non-coding RNA (SBIC_LNC012938)
Source: RNAcentral